AGUUUGAUCAUGGCUCAGGAUUAACGCUGGCGGCAUGCCUAAUACAUGCAAGUCGAACGAAAGUAGUAAUACUUUAGUGGCGAACGGGUGAGUAACACGUAUCUAACCUACCAUUUAGUGGGGAAUAACUGUUGGAAACGACAGCUAAUACCGCAUAUGUUAUUUAUUUGCAAUGAUAAAUAAUGAAAGGAGCAUUUGCUUUGCUAAUUGAUGGGGAUGCGGCGCAUUAACUAGUUGGUAGGGUAAUUGCUUACCAAGGUAACGAUGCGUAGCCGAUCUGAGAGGAUGAACGGCCACAUUGGGACUGAGACACGGCCCAAACUUCUACGGAAGGCAGCAGUAGGGAAUUUUUCACAAUGGGCGAAAGCCUGAUGGAGCAAUGCCGCGUGACUGAUGAAGGUCUUCGGAUUGUAAAGGUCUGUUGUAAGGGAAGAAGUGCUAGAAUAGGGAAUGAUUUUAGUAUCGACCUUACCUUACCAGAAAGCCACGGCUAACUAUGUGCCAGCAGCCGCGGUAA
This 517-nucleotide ribosomal RNA is filed under the name uncultured Spiroplasma sp. Its description in RNAcentral is "bacterial SSU rRNA". It matches the Rfam family "Bacterial small subunit ribosomal RNA", at positions 10 to 523 of the family's 1533-position model. Lineage: Bacteria; Bacillati; Mycoplasmatota; Mollicutes; Entomoplasmatales; Spiroplasmataceae. The record is from RNAcentral.